UGUGUGUUUUGAUGACGGCACUCAGUUUCCGCCCGCACUGAUUUUGCCCGUGCCAAUACCAGACACAGUGUGUCCUCGCAAACACUGACCACCAGCUGCUGGAAGAUCCCAUCGCCGGCGACGUCAAUCGGAGGGUUCUGGAGCCGACGAUGAUGACUACGAGUAUGAAGAUGAGGGAGAGGAUGCUAUUGAGCCAAGCACGGAAGUUCCCGCGGUGACUACGCAUGCGCAUCGUCAUCAUCAUGGAGUGGAGAGUGUUCCGAUUGAUUACUCAAUUGGUUAUAUGUACCUACUACAUUCCCAAUAUUUAUUUUGGUUCAUUCUCUCGGUGUUUUUAUUAUCCGUUAUCCGUUAAUCCGUUUAAAUGCGAAUACUCCGAGGUUAAUGCAUUGUGGAUGGUGUUGAACUAUGUACGAGUAUAUGUAUAACCAAAGACUAUACAAUACCAAGAUGUUGCAUGAGGAACAAAUGCUU
Long non-coding RNA from Drosophila miranda, 474 nucleotides. RefSeq lists it as uncharacterized. The record is from RefSeq and is a predicted model, not a curated record. The transcript has 3 exons. NCBI's taxonomy places the organism in Eukaryota, Metazoa, Arthropoda, Insecta, Diptera, Drosophilidae.